RNAcentral lists this ribosomal RNA (497 nucleotides) under uncultured bacterium. Its description in RNAcentral is "partial 16S ribosomal RNA". It matches the Rfam family "Bacterial small subunit ribosomal RNA", at positions 28 to 507 of the family's 1533-position model. The record is from RNAcentral.
GAUGAACGCUGGCGGCGUGCCUAAUACAUGCAAGUCGAGCGAACAGACGAGGAGCUUGCUCCUUCGACGUUAGCGGCGGACGGGUGAGUAACACGUAGGUAACCUACCUAUAAGACUGGGAUAACUUCGGGAAACCGGAACUAAUACCGGAUAAUAUUUCGAACCGCAUGGUUCGAUAGUGAAAGAUGGCUUUGCUAUCACUUAUAGAUGGACCUGCGCCGUAUUAGCUAGUUGGUAAGGUAACGGCUUACCAAGGCAACGAUACGUAGCCGACCUGAGAGGGUGAUCGGCCACACUGGAACUGAGACACGGUCCAGACUCCUACGGGAGGCAGCAGUAGGGAAUCUUCCGCAAUGGGCGAAAGCCUGACGGAGCAACGCCGCGUGAGUAAUGAAGGUCUUCGGAUCGUAAAACUCUGUUAUUAGGGAAGAACAAACGUGUAAGUAACUGUGCACGUCUUGACGGUACCUAAUCAGAAAGCCACGGCUAACUACGUG